Molecule: long non-coding RNA, 664 nt
Organism: Hyaena hyaena (striped hyena)
Lineage: Eukaryota; Metazoa; Chordata; Mammalia; Carnivora; Hyaenidae
Exons: 2
Source: RefSeq, a predicted model, not a curated record
UUUUUUUUAAUUUUUUUUUUUUUUUAAUUCUGAGCUCGCAGUACUUGGGCUGAGCCGGUGAGAUCUCGCGAGAUGCUGCAGGGCCGCUUCACCUCAGGCGUGUGGUACCCGAGGCGGUGCUAGAGCUGCCGGCCGCCCCUCGCUCCGGUGGGUGAUGCCGGGGGCUUUCCCGUCAGGCCCGCAGGUGCUUCCGGAGCGGCGGGCGAGGGGCGCCCCCAGGCGAGGUCCGCCCGCUGCUCCCGCGCGCCGCGACUGCCGGCCCUCACCCCAGGCCUGAGCCUUAGGGGGAGGCAGGAUUUCCUCUGUGCUGCCUUUGAGGCGGUCGACUCCCCGCCCGGCCGCGUUAGAUUUGCAUAACCAGAAACUCUUUCCUGUGGAGAUGCAGUGGGUGUGUCCACACUUCGAUGACACCUUUAUUUUAAAAGCUGUGAUGUUUGAAGUGGUCCUAAAAGUCGAUGGAUAAGAAAGUGCAAUUAAUAAAAGACAGCAUAUUACCAGACACGAAGUAUGUACCCUAAGAAGUUAGAAAAUACCUUCUCUCCAACCUUCCUUCAAUUUACAUGUCCUCACUUCAUCUGAAACACUGUAUCAAAUGCUGUCAGGAAUUUAAGCAUCUCUAAUAACAAUUUAUUCAUGAUUAAACUUCGGCUUAUAAAAAAUGAAA